UACGAAGGGUACAAGCGUUAAUCGGAAUUACUGGGCGUAAAGCGUGCGUAUGCGGUUGGUUAAGUCUGUCGUGAAAGCCCUGGGCUCAACCUGGGAAUGGCGAUGGAUACUGGCCAGCUAGAGUGUGAUAGAGGAUGGCGGAAUUCCCGGUGUAGCGGUGAAAUGCGUAGAGAUCGGGAGGAACAUCCGUGGCGAAGGCGGCCAUCUGGAUCAACACUGACGCUGAGGCACGAAAGCGUGGGGAGCAAACAGG
Molecule: ribosomal RNA, 253 nt
Filed under: uncultured bacterium
Lineage: Bacteria
Description: partial 16S ribosomal RNA
Rfam family: Bacterial small subunit ribosomal RNA
Source: RNAcentral